CCCUUAGAUGUCCUGGGCCGCACGCGCGCUACACUGACAUGUUCAACAAGUUUCUCCUAGUUCGACAGGACUGGGAAAUCUUUGAACGCAUGUCGUGAUAGGGAUAGAUCAUUGCAAUUAUUGAUCUUGAACGAGGAAUUCCUAGUAAACGCGAGUCAUCAGCUCGCAUUGAUUACGUCCCUGCCCUUUGUACACACCGCCCGUCGCACCUACCGAUUUAAUGUUUCGGUGAAGAUUCCGGAUAGGACUGAUUUGAUUUAUUUCAUUUCUGACCUAAAAGCUAUCUAAACCUCAACAUUUAGAGGAAGGUGAAGUCGUAACA
RNAcentral lists this ribosomal RNA (322 nucleotides) under uncultured eukaryote. RNAcentral's name for it is "partial 18S ribosomal RNA". It matches the Rfam family "Eukaryotic small subunit ribosomal RNA", at positions 1470 to 1796 of the family's 1831-position model. The record is from RNAcentral.